GGCACCUCUUUGCGAAAUAUUAUGCCCAUAGGGAUUUAUUACUAUCAAAUUAGAUAUAUCGUCUCGACUACCAUGAUAGGUGGGAUAGUCGACAGUAAACUAAGUAGUAUGACUCAUUUUUUGGUUCACUUUUAUAUAUUACAGCUUGUGAAUGUUUGAUAGUUGUGUAAAGUUGAACAUGUUAUAAUAUUUUGAUUGAAAAGUUUAGAAUUGUUCCAGCAAAGUACUUAAAACUUUAGAAAUGAUAGUUUUCUAUAUCGUUUUAAGCAUUAAAGUUAUAUGUUCCUAUUUUUUCCUAUUAUUAUUUAUAUGUUCCUAUUAUUAGUCUCAUUAUGUGGUUUAUUUUAUUUUUCCUAGGUAGAUUGUAGUGCCAUAGCUUAGUAUAGUAGAGGUUGGACAGGUUAGCUGGAAGGAGCAUAUUUUGAAGAUAAAUAUAUUUUGAGAUGUUAAAUUUUAAAUAUACUUUGAUAAUGAAUGUUUAAGCCUUAUAUGAGGAUUAGUACUUGUUGAUCAUGUCAUAUUGAUGUGUAUAUAUAAAGCUUAGUGGAUGAAUGAAAGUAUGGAUUUAUGGUUGGGAAGAAAGUGAUAUGUUAAUGAAAUUAUGUGUGUCAAUAUUAUGAUAUGUUGAUUUAUUUGAGCAUGAGCAGGUUUAGCUAGAUGUUUUUCCCUUUGCCCUUAUCUAAGGAUAGAUUUACUCUUAUUUAAGGGUGGGAUGUAGUACUUCCAUCCGAUAAUUAGGUGUGAGGCGUUACACAUCUUCACAUUGCCCGCUUUUUGAUACAAACCAUAAUGCUUACUUAAACGAAGAGGCCCAGUUACUUACU
RNAcentral lists this long non-coding RNA (824 nucleotides) under Elaeis guineensis (African oil palm). RNAcentral describes it as "long non-coding RNA (EGUI_LNC034760)". Lineage: Eukaryota; Viridiplantae; Streptophyta; Magnoliopsida; Arecales; Arecaceae. The record is from RNAcentral.